Molecule: non-coding RNA, 358 nt
Organism: Pelobates cultripes (western spadefoot toad)
Lineage: Eukaryota; Metazoa; Chordata; Amphibia; Anura; Pelobatidae
Source: the annotation of a GenBank genome assembly
AUCCAUACAAGACAGAGGGGACAAACAUGCCGAACGGUGGUUUCCAUGGUUCACUUUCAUGUCACGAAACACAGGGGGCUAGGACGGUGACCCGACGGCUUACGCGGGGGCGCAGGGCCCUCUGGGGCAAGGCCAAUGUGCAUGUCCUAAUUAUAUGAACCCUACUCCAUCCACGCCUCCUGUAGAAUGGAUACACCUCUGCGACCCCCUCAUUCUCCCUCUCUUCUGGCCAUAUAUCUAAACUACCGCCAGUGAAUGGUUAAAUGACCUAUUUGACCCUAGAACACGCACCUGGCCGAAGAUGGAGGCCACGAACCGAACACACGUAGAUAAGUGACAUUGAGCGCGCUAUAUGUUA